UCGGGAAUAUUGGACAAUGGGCGCAAGCCUGAUCCAGCAAUACCGCGUGUGUGAAGAAGGCCUGCGGGUUGUAAAGCACUUUCAGUGGGGAAGAUAAUGACGUUACCCACAGAAGAAGCACCGGCUAACUCCGUGCCAGCAGCCGCGGUAAUACGGAGGGUGCAAGCGUUAAUCGGAAUUACUGGGCGUAAAGCGUGCGUAGGCGGUUAUUUAAGUCAGAUGUGAAAUCCCCGGGCUCAACCUGGGAACU
This 250-nucleotide ribosomal RNA is filed under the name uncultured bacterium. Its description in RNAcentral is "partial 16S ribosomal RNA". It matches the Rfam family "Bacterial small subunit ribosomal RNA", at positions 355 to 622 of the family's 1533-position model. The record is from RNAcentral.